RNAcentral lists this transfer RNA (73 nucleotides) under Rhodothermaceae bacterium RA. It matches the Rfam family "tRNA". From Rfam's summary of the family: Transfer RNA (tRNA) molecules are approximately 80 nucleotides in length. Their secondary structure includes four short double-helical elements and three loops (D, anti-codon, and T loops). RNAcentral also lists the same sequence under 1 other name. The record is from Rfam by way of RNAcentral. Lineage: Bacteria; Pseudomonadati; Rhodothermota; Rhodothermia; Rhodothermales; Rhodothermaceae.
GGGCCCAUAGCUCAGCGGUUAGAGCAGUGGACUCAUAAUCCAUUGGUCGUAGGUUCAAAUCCUACUGGGCCCA